This 76-nucleotide transfer RNA is filed under the name Alphaproteobacteria bacterium. RNAcentral's name for it is "tRNA-Ala". It matches the Rfam family "tRNA". From Rfam's summary of the family: Transfer RNA (tRNA) molecules are approximately 80 nucleotides in length. Their secondary structure includes four short double-helical elements and three loops (D, anti-codon, and T loops). Further hydrogen bonds mediate the characteristic L-shaped molecular structure. tRNAs have two regions of fundamental functional importance: the anti-codon, which is responsible for specific mRNA codon recognition, and the 3' end, to which the tRNAs corresponding amino acid is attached (by aminoacyl-tRNA synthetases). tRNAs cope with the degeneracy of the genetic code in two manners: having more than one tRNA (with a specific anti-codon) for a particular amino acid; and 'wobble' base-pairing, i.e. permitting non-standard base-pairing at the 3rd anti-codon position. RNAcentral also lists the same sequence under 4 other names. The record is from RNAcentral. Lineage: Bacteria; Pseudomonadati; Pseudomonadota; Alphaproteobacteria.
GGGGCUGUAGCUCAGCUGGGAGAGCGCAUCGCUGGCAGCGAUGAGGUCAGGGGUUCGAUCCCCCUCAGCUCCACCA